This 1061-nucleotide long non-coding RNA is filed under the name Sander lucioperca (pikeperch). Its description in RNAcentral is "lncRNA (ENSSLUG00000020402.1)". The record is from RNAcentral. Lineage: Eukaryota; Metazoa; Chordata; Actinopteri; Perciformes; Percidae.
CUCAACCUGGUGCAUAUCACGUGACUGUUCUGAUGCGUUUGUCCCGUCCUGCCCUUUUUCAGGUCAGCAGAUGUUAUUGCCUCCACCACCUGCAUGUAAGUGUUUUUUUUAUUUUAGCGAUUGUCUAAUGUAACAGCAUAGGUUCAUCCUUUGCAAUGGCAUGUUAAAGAAACCUACCAUAAAUGAACUGACCAAUAUUCAUAUUUACUUUUUUAGAUGAGUCAACACCACACAGGAAACCUGCCAGUCGCCCAGAGCUGGAUGAGUCGAUUGUGACGCAAGCUCGGCCUGCCACUUCUUGGGACCCAGUUGAAGACCUCAUCGCACAGAGGGAGACCAUGGAGACGGAAAUGAGAGCCAUGAGGGCAUCCAUUGCCCGCCUGACACAGUAGAUGGAUGCAUUUGAGGAGAAGAUGGAUGAGCUGCUCAUGCUGUUAAGGAGCUCCCAGUUCCCUCCCUCUGCUCCAGGCGAGGACACGUUGGUGCCGCCCUGCUCGACCGUCACCGAGCUGGAGGAGUUUGACCGGCGAGUGGCAACCAAUGACGUGCUGAAAGAGUAUAGCCUGCGGGGAAGAAAGGCAAAGAAGGCCUUCCAGGACCUGACAAUCUGCAGGGUUAUAACAGCGGCCUCCCAGAAGAACUUCCCCACGCUGACUGCAGCAGACGUGGAGGUGGACAUGGAGCUCUAUUUUUUAUUUUUUUGUAUUUUUUCCAUCCAUCUUGCAGCUUGUAUUUUUGUAUUAACCUCUUAACAAACGGCUGCAUUUUCAAGCUUUUUGGUCUAAACGACAUACCCAAAUUAAAAGUGGUACAGCUCCCAUAUACUUUGACACUCUGGGGUGUGCCUGAUAUCAUUGGAAAGGUAACAGUCUCAAGUGUUUGUUCCAAGUGUCAGGGUGAUUCUAGACCUUACUGACAGAGUUACAGAGGCUAGAAUGGAGGGUUUUUAUUUCCGUCCAAGUCAUACAUCUGUAAAAUGAUUAAAAUACACUGCUACUGUAUGUGUAUGUGUGUAUAUGUAUGUAUGUGUGUGUGUGUAUAUAUAUAUAUAUAUAUAUAUA